Molecule: unclassified non-coding RNA, 213 nt
Filed under: plant metagenome
Description: partial contains small subunit ribosomal RNA, internal transcribed spacer 1, and 5.8S ribosomal RNA
Source: RNAcentral
UUUCCGUAGGUGGACCUGCGGAAGGAUCAUUCAUAAUAAGUGUUUUAUGGCACUUUUUUAAAUCCAUAUCCACCUUGUGUGCAAUGUCAGGGUUGAUGUUUCUCCCGAGAGGGUCAGCCCCAAACAACAACUAUAUCUCGACUCUAUGACUGAAAAAUGUUAUGACUAAAACAAUUCAAAUUAAAACUUUCAACAACGGAUCUCUUGGCUCUC